Molecule: ribosomal RNA, 460 nt
Filed under: uncultured bacterium
Lineage: Bacteria
Description: partial 16S ribosomal RNA
Rfam family: Bacterial small subunit ribosomal RNA
Source: RNAcentral
CCUACGGGGAGCAGCAGUGAGGAAUAUUGGUCAAUGGACGAGAGUCUGAACCAGCCAAGUAGCGUGAAGGAUGAAUGCCCUAUGGGUUGUAAACUUCUUUUAUAUGGGAAUAAAAUGUUCCAAGUGUGGGAGUUUGUAUGUACCAAAUGAAUAAGGAUCGGCUAACUCCGUGCCAGCAGCCGCGGUAAUACGGAGGAUCCUAGCGUUAUCCGGAUUUAUUGGGUUUAAAGGGAGCGUAGGUGGAUUGUUAAGUCAGUUGUGAAAGUUUGCGGCUCAACCGUAAAAUUGCAGUUGAAACUGGCAGUCUUGAGUACAGUAGAGGUGGGCGGAAUUCGUGGUGUAGCGGUGAAAUGCUUAGAUAUCACGAAGAACUCCGAUUGCGAAGGCAGCUCACUGGACUGCAACUGACACUGAGGCUCGAAAGUGUGGGUAUCAAACAGGAUUAGAUACCCGAGUAGUC